Molecule: ribosomal RNA, 452 nt
Filed under: uncultured bacterium
Lineage: Bacteria
Description: partial 16S ribosomal RNA
Rfam family: Bacterial small subunit ribosomal RNA
Source: RNAcentral
UAGGGAAUCUUCCACAAUGGACGCAAGUCUGAUGGAGCAACGCCGCGUGAGUGAAGAAGGUUUCGGACCGUAAAGCUCUGUUGUUGGUGAAGAAGGAUAGAGGUAGUAACUGGCCUUUAUUUGACGGUAAUCAACCAGAAAGUCACGGCUAACUACGUGCCAGCAGCCGCGGUAAUACGUAGGUGGCAAGCGUUGUCCGGAUUUAUUGGGCGUAAAGCGAGCGCAGGCGGAAGAAUAAGUCUGAUGUGAAAGCCCUCGGCUUAACCGAGGAAUUGCAUCGGAAACUGUUUUCUUGAGUGCAGAAGAGGAGAGUAGAACUCCAUGUGUAGCGGUGGAAUGCGUAGAUAUAUGGAAGAAUACCAGUGGCGAAGGCGGCUCUCUGGUCUGCAACUGACGCUGAGGCUCGAAAGCAUGGGUAGCGAACAGGAUUAGAUACCCUGGUAGUCCAUGCC